Molecule: ribosomal RNA, 469 nt
Filed under: uncultured microorganism
Description: bacterial SSU rRNA
Rfam family: Bacterial small subunit ribosomal RNA
Source: RNAcentral
AGUGAACGCUGGCGGCGUGCUUAACACAUGCAAGUCGAACGAGAACGGGUUAUAGCUUGCUAUAAUUGUCAGCUAAGUGGCGCACGGGUGAGUAAUGUAUAGGUAAUAUGCCUCUUACUAAGGGAUAACAAAUGGAAACGUUUGCUAAUACCUUAUACUCCUUAUUAACAGAAGUUAAUAAGGGAAAGAUUUAUUGGUAAGAGAUUAGCCUGUAUUGUAUCAGUUAGUUGGUGGGGUAAUGGCUUACCAAGACUAUGACACAUAACUGGUUUGAGAGGAUGAUCAGUCACACUGGAACUGAGACACGGUCCAGACUCCUACGGGAGGCAGCAGUGGGGAAUAUUGCACAAUGGACGAAAGUCUGAUGCAGCAACGCCGCGUGGAGGAUGACACAUUUCGGUGCGUAAACUCCUUUUAUAUGAGAAGAUAAUGACGGUAUUAUAUGAAUAAGCACCGGCUAACUCCGUGC